GCUGGACUUAUUUUUCGUUUUUAUGAGCCGAUGAGGGUUUUUUUUAGUAACGGUACAAACAGUGAAAGGCGGUGGAUUUUCCAGAUGCUGGUCGAUGUGGAAAAAAUAACUGAGUUGUUUGGUAGUCGCUGACGCGGAGCUACAACCGAGGGCAGCUAUCCACCGGUGUGUGUCAGAAAGAACAUGCGGGGAACGAGGCGGCGAGGCGACCGCCGAUCGACCGGUGGUAGAUCGUGGAUCAGGGAAACCGAAGGCAGGAGAAGCAGGCGGCUGCCGGUCGGAGCGUGAGGUGAACUGAAUUUCAGGGAAACCGAAGGCAGGAGAAGCAGGCGGCUGCCGGUCGGAGCGUGAGG
Molecule: long non-coding RNA, 353 nt
Organism: Oreochromis aureus
Lineage: Eukaryota; Metazoa; Chordata; Actinopteri; Cichliformes; Cichlidae
Source: Ensembl